CUGGGAGUACUUACUGCAUACCGUUCACAGUACCUGAUAUUCUAUGUGUCUAAUAGUAAGGUGACCAAAUUUCUGAAAUGAAAUCCUGGGACAUUUACAGCUCGCGCGGUCUGGUCUGGUGUGUAGUACGUACAUUAAAUAAAGCACAUCUAAGAAAGAAAGUAAGGGGGCGCGGCCUAUUUCCACCCUCCUCUUUACCGCACGACCACGAUGCUCACUUCAUUUAACUCGAAUCCGUGUGCGCGUAAACACAGUGACCUGUGAGGUCCGGUCGGCUUCCUCUUCAAGGACACAGUGUCAUCACUACAACCCGCCACCAGCAACACGAAACGAUGAUUUUUUGGUGUUUCUUCUCCGUGGCUACACUUGCGUGGAAUGCCACGCUGCUGUAUGAAUUUAAUAAUGACGGAGAGAACUUAUGGGUGAGACACGAUAACAAGGUCCCCCUACCCUACUGUUCGUUAUCGCCGCCUCCUCCUGACUCCCUGUGCCUGGUCUGUGUUGAGGAGAAUAUCUUUGUUGUGUGCAACUUGCCCAUGGGGGAGGACUCUGCAGAACUUAUUUUGGAAGCCGGAAAAGAGUCUGCUGUGGACAUCUCAAAAAGCACUUGUCCCAACCUCCUCUCCAAUGGAGGACCCACAGGACAGCUGAGCACUACCAACACUUUUGGGAUGUUCCUCCUCGCUGUGGCUGUCAUGGUCGUUGUUGCUCAGUAGGUGGUGGCAGGAUCUGCACCAAGUGUGAAACAUCGGCCCACGCCUGAACAUCACUGCCUUCAUAUGCAUCACUGCCUUCAUAUAAAUGACUACAGUGGUGUGAAAAAGUGUUGGCCCCUUUCCUGAUUUUUUUUUAAGUAUAUUAGGUGUAUGCUAACUUUUCUACCUCAUGUAAGUUUUAUAUAUUUUACUAUCUUCUUUGUGAGAAGUGCUAUAUAAAUAAAAUGUACUUC
This is a long non-coding RNA of Mugil cephalus (flathead mullet), 949 nucleotides long. RefSeq lists it as uncharacterized. The record is from RefSeq and is a predicted model, not a curated record. Lineage: Eukaryota; Metazoa; Chordata; Actinopteri; Mugiliformes; Mugilidae. The transcript has 5 exons.